Non-coding RNA from Phrynosoma platyrhinos (Desert horned lizard), 72 nucleotides. The record is from the annotation of a GenBank genome assembly. NCBI's taxonomy places the organism in Eukaryota, Metazoa, Chordata, Lepidosauria, Squamata, Phrynosomatidae.
UACAGUGUGACACAAUGGUUUGAGCAUUGGACUAUAUCUCUGGAGACCAGGGUUCAAUUCCCUGCUCAGCCA